UAACAAGGAUUCCCCUAGUAACUGCGAGUGAAGCGGGAAGAGCUCAAAUUUAAAAUCUGGCGGCUUCUAGUCGUCCGAGUUGUAAUCUGGAGAGGCAUUUUCCGCGUUGGACCGUGUACAAGUCUCCUGGAAUGGAGCGUCGUAGAGGGUGAGAAUCCCGUCCAUGACACGGACCGCCAAUGCUCUGUGAUAUGCCUUCGAAGAGUCGCGUUGUUUGGGAAUGCAGCGCAAAAUGGGUGGUAAAUUCCAUCUAAAGCUAAAUAUUGGCGAGAGACCGAUAGCGAACAAGUACCGUGAGGGAAAGAUGAAAAGCACUUUGGAAAGAGAGUUAAACAGUACGUGAAAUUGUUGAAAGGGAAACGCUUGAAGUCAGUCGCGUUCCGUGGAACUCAGCCUUACUUCGGUUUGGUGUACUUUCCAUGUGAACGGGUCAACGUCAAUUUUGGCCGGUGGACAAAGACAAAGGGAAUGUAGCGUUGCUUCGGUGACGUGUUAUAGCCCCUUGUUGUAUACACCGGCUGGGAUUGAGGACUGCAGCACGCCCUUGCGGCCGGGGGUUCGCCCCACGUACCGUGCUUAGGAUGUUGGCAUAAUGGCUUUAAGCGACCCGUCUUGAAACACGGACCAAGGAGUCUAACAUGCUUGCGAGUGUUUGGGUGGAAAACCCUUGCGCGUAAUGAAAGUGAAAGUUAGGAACCUUCUCGCAAGAGAGAGUGCACUGACGCCCGGCCCUGACGUUCUCUGACGGUGCUGCGGUAGAGCAAGUAUGUUGGGACCCGAAAGAUGGUGAACUAUGCCUGAAUAGGGCGAAGCCAGAGGAAACUCUGGUGGAGGCUCGUAGCGAUUCUGACGUGCAAAUCGAUCGUCAAAUUUGGG
This 876-nucleotide ribosomal RNA is filed under the name Fulvifomes merrillii. RNAcentral describes it as "eukaryotic LSU rRNA". It matches the Rfam family "Eukaryotic large subunit ribosomal RNA", at positions 66 to 915 of the family's 3401-position model. Lineage: Eukaryota; Fungi; Basidiomycota; Agaricomycetes; Hymenochaetales; Hymenochaetaceae. The record is from RNAcentral.